AACAGAACGAACGAAGUAACGUAGUCGAGGUCGAACUCUCGAGAAGACAUCUCUGUGAUAGAAUCAGUGCGUAGUUUACAUUUGUUUUUAUAGAAGACAUAAACCCUUUAAUUCCGAGGAAACAGCAAAGAUGUCGAAGUUCAUCCUCUUGGUUUUUGUAACUCUUCUUGCCAGCACACUUAUCGUAGCUGCUCCCGAUAAAUCAGUCUGCGGUCGACACGGUGACCCCUGCGUAGUUGAUCGUGAGUGUUGCCAAAACAUGAGGUGCCAUGGAUAUGCGCAUAGAUGUCAAGUUAUUAUCACCUCCGAAGAACUAAUGGCGCAAAGAGAAAAGAUUUUAGGCAAAAAAGGAAAAUCUUAUUGAUCAACUUUUUAUCUUCUUCUGAUCGCUCACUGAUGAUGACGGUCGAAAAGAAAAAUAACUUUUUUUUUUUUUUAAUAUAUAUUUACAUAGAUAAA
RNAcentral lists this unclassified non-coding RNA (459 nucleotides) under Polistes canadensis. RNAcentral describes it as "omega-conotoxin-like protein 1, transcript variant X1". The record is from RNAcentral. Lineage: Eukaryota; Metazoa; Arthropoda; Insecta; Hymenoptera; Vespidae.